RNAcentral lists this ribosomal RNA (2892 nucleotides) under Acinetobacter baumannii. RNAcentral describes it as "23S ribosomal RNA". It matches the Rfam family "Bacterial large subunit ribosomal RNA". The record is from RNAcentral. Lineage: Bacteria; Pseudomonadati; Pseudomonadota; Gammaproteobacteria; Moraxellales; Moraxellaceae.
AGUCAAGUAAUUAAGUGCAUGUGGUGGAUGCCUUGGCAGUCAGAGGCGAUGAAAGACGUGAUAGCCUGCGAAAAGCUCCGGGGAGGCGGCAAAUAUCCUUUGAUCCGGAGAUGUCUGAAUGGGGGAACCCACCUACUUUAAGGUAGGUAUUGCAACAUGAAUACAUAGUGUUGCAAGGCGAACGAGGGGAAGUGAAACAUCUCAGUACCCUUAGGAAAAGAAAUCAAUUGAGAUUCCCUCAGUAGCGGCGAGCGAACGGGGAUCAGCCCAUUAAGUUAUGUGUGUUUUAGUGGAACGCUCUGGGAAGUGCGAACGUAGAGGGUGAUAUUCCCGUACACGAAAGGGCACACAUAAUGAUGACGAGUAGGGCGAGGCACGUGAAACCUUGUCUGAAUAUGGGGGGACCAUCCUCCAAGGCUAAAUACUCCUGACUGACCGAUAGUGAACCAGUACCGUGAGGGAAAGGCGAAAAGAACCCCUGUGAGGGGAGUGAAAUAGAUCCUGAAACCGCAUGCAUACAAGCAGUGGGAGCACCUUCGUGGUGUGACUGCGUACCUUUUGUAUAAUGGGUCAGCGACUUAUAUUCAGUAGCGAGGUUAACCGUAUAGGGGAGCCGUAGAGAAAUCGAGUCUUAAUAGGGCGUUUAGUUGCUGGGUAUAGACCCGAAACCAGGCGAUCUAUCCAUGAGCAGGUUGAAGGUUGGGUAACACUAACUGGAGGACCGAACCCACUGUCGUUGAAAAGCCAGGGGAUGACUUGUGGAUAGGGGUGAAAGGCUAAUCAAGCCUGGUGAUAGCUGGUUCUCCCCGAAAGCUAUUUAGGUAGCGCCUCGGACGAAUACCAUAGGGGGUAGAGCACUGUUUCGGCUAGGGGGUCAUCCCGACUUACCAAACCGAUGCAAACUCCGAAUACCUAUGAGUACUAUCCGGGAGACAGACUGCGGGUGCUAACGUCCGUAGUCAAGAGGAAAACAAUCCAGACCGCCAGCUAAGGCCCCAAAAUCAUAGUUAAGUGGGAAACGAUGUGGGAAGGCAUAGACAGCUAGGAGGUUGGCUUAGAAGCAGCCACCCUUUAAAGAAAGCGUAAUAGCUCACUAGUCGAGUCGGCCUGCGCGGAAGAUGUAACGGGGCUAAAACUAUGUGCCGAAGCUGCGGAUGUAUACUUUGUAUACGUGGUAGGGGAGCGUUCUGUAAGCCGAUGAAGGUGUGUUGAGAAGCAUGCUGGAGGUAUCAGAAGUGCGAAUGCUGACGUGAGUAACGACAAAACGGGUGAAAAACCCGUUCGCCGAAAGACCAAGGGUUCCAGUCCAACGUUAAUCGGGGCUGGGUGAGUCGACCCCUAAGGCGAGGCCGAAAGGCGUAGUCGAUGGGAAAAUGGUUAAUAUUCCAUUACUUCUGUGUAAUGCGAUGAGAGGACGGAGAAGGCUAAAUCAGCCUGGCGUUGGUUGUCCAGGUGAAAGGAUGUAGGCAUGUAUCUUAGGCAAAUCCGGGGUACUCUAUGCUGAGAUCUGAUAGCAAGCUGUACUUGUACAGCGAAGUGGUUGAUGCCAUGCUUCCAGGAAAAGUCUCUAAGCUUCAGUUACACAGGAAUCGUACCCGAAACCGACACAGGUGGUCAGGUCGAGUAGACCAAGGCGCUUGAGAGAACUCUGCUGAAGGAACUAGGCAAAAUGGUACCGUAACUUCGGGAGAAGGUACGCUGUUGUUGGUGAUGGAACUCGCUUCCUGAGCUGACGACAGCCGCAGAAACCAGGCCGCUGCAACUGUUUAUUAAAAACAUAGCACUCUGCAAACACGAAAGUGGACGUAUAGGGUGUGAUGCCUGCCCGGUGCUGGAAGGUUAAUUGAUGGGGUUAGCGUAAGCGAAGCUCUUGAUCGAAGCCCCAGUAAACGGCGGCCGUAACUAUAACGGUCCUAAGGUAGCGAAAUUCCUUGUCGGGUAAGUUCCGACCUGCACGAAUGGCAUAAUGAUGGCGGCGCUGUCUCCAGCAGAGGCUCAGUGAAAUCGAAAUCGCUGUGAAGAUGCAGUGUACCCGCGGCUAGACGGAAAGACCCCGUGAACCUUUACUGCAGCUUGACACUGAACUUUGACCUUACUUGUGUAGGAUAGGUGGGAGGCUUUGAAGCUGGAACGCUAGUUCCAGUGGAGCCGUCCUUGAAAUACCACCCUGGUAAUGUUGAGGUUCUAACUCUGUCCCGUGAUCCGGGACGAGGACCGUGUCUGGUGGGUAGUUUGACUGGGGCGGUCUCCUCCUAAAGAGUAACGGAGGAGUACGAAGGUGCGCUCAGCGUGGUCGGAAAUCACGCGUAGAGUAUAAAGGCAAAAGCGCGCUUAACUGCGAGACCCACAAGUCGAGCAGGUACGAAAGUAGGUCUUAGUGAUCCGGUGGUUCUGUAUGGAAGGGCCAUCGCUCAACGGAUAAAAGGUACUCUGGGGAUAACAGGCUGAUACCGCCCAAGAGUUCAUAUCGACGGCGGUGUUUGGCACCUCGAUGUCGGCUCAUCUCAUCCUGGGGCUGAAGCAGGUCCCAAGGUAUGGCUGUUCGCCAUUUAAAGAGGUACGCGAGCUGGGUUUAGAACGUCGUGAGACAGUUCGGUCCCUAUCUACCGUGGGCGCUGGAAAUUUGAGAGGAUCUGCUCCUAGUACGAGAGGACCAGAGUGGACGAACCUCUGGUGUACCGGUUGUGACGCCAGUCGCAUCGCCGGGUAGCUAUGUUCGGAAGGGAUAACCGCUGAAAGCAUCUAAGCGGGAAGCCUACCUCAAGAUAAGAUUUCCCUAGGACUUUAUGUCCUCUAAAGAGCCGUUCGAGACUAGGACGUUGAUAGGUUGGAUGUGGAAGCAUAGUGAUAUGUGAAGCUGACCAAUACUAAUUGCUCGUGAGGCUUGACUAU